GUUAAGGAAAAAAGAAAAAAGCCCAACCCAAAUAAAAAAGAGGAAAAAGUGUUUUGUCAAAACGGCUGUCGUGGGGCAUCGUUGCCGCGUUUCGUCCAAAGACGGUCAGAAAGGGUUUCUGUUUACUCAUACCCCACAAACACACUCUCUCUCUCUCUCGACUGUUCUACUUCUUAGCAGCGAGGACCUUAGAAAUGCUCCGAAAACCUGUAAGUGCUUUUUUCUCUCUCUGCUUUUACAUUUGUACUUGGGCGCAAUAGCUUUAGCUCAACCUCAAAACAAAUUUCAAUGAUUGCUAUUACUUCAUAAUCUGAUUUGUCAAGGCAUGUGAUGUGGUGAAAAUUGUACUUCUUAUGGGUAGAGAUUUGGGCAAUUGUCUUUGAAGUCUUCAUUUUUUUUCCUUUAAACUGUGUCUUUGAAUGAAUCUUCAAAUUCUGAAAGUGCUCGAAUUUUUUAUUAUAAAUGUUAUAUUAAUUGUCUGAAAAUUUGUAUGCAAUACAAGAUGGGUUUUGUCAUGGUUCUUGAUGUUUUGCAUUUCCAAUGAUGUUAAAAUUGAAACAACUCAGUUUCAAUCAUCAGUGGAAGUGAAUUAGUUUACUUUUAAUCAUUGCUAUUGACCAAAUAAAUAUAGUAGAAACCAUUCGUAAUAAUAUCGUGUACUAUUUCGUUCAUGGUAGGAUCUCGUUAGGGGAUUUCAUUACCUCAUUGACCAUGCUAGAGGAACUUUUAUAUCCACAACUUCAGCCAACCAAACUAAGCUUAUUGUUGGAAACUAACAAAUAAGUAAAAGCCGAAAUCUUUAUAUUGCCCUGCCUGCACUUUAUGAAAGCCACCGUGGUUUUUUUUAUUCAUUAGGUCAUUUAAUUAUUGGAAAGUAAAUCCUAUUAUUUGAAGGAUUUUUUUAUUUUAAGAAAUACCUUGUGCAAACUGCAAACAGUCUGUACUGUUGAAAGCUCACCUCUAUUUACAGAGUUGAUAGAGAUGAUGUUUGUGCAGCUAGAAAUACAUUGUGUGAAGUAAAAUACAAAUCGAAGAUGAGAUGAAAACUCUAUGAAUUAAGAGUGCAUUUUGAGUCUCAAAGACAGACAUACAUUGUGUGAAGUAAAAUACCACGAAUAGUCUUUGGUCUUCUAGAGACCUCAUCAAUAUUCAAUAAUCCCAUUGAAGAGUUUGUGAGGUUGCCUCACCAAAGUAAUGUAUUAGUCGGCUCUUUUAAUAGAAGCUCUUCUAGAUUUUAAAAUAUGCCAUAUCACAUUUUGUUAUACUAAUCAAUGUUUUAGAAAGCCGAUAUCUUCCCAGUCUACGCAUGACCUCGUUCUGCUACAUUCAUGAGAUUCUACGGUUUAGGGAGUUUGCUGCGAUCCUGGUCUUGUUUAUCCAGUUAACUUGUAUCCAUGGGGACUUGACUAACAAAGGUUUCUGAACUCUGAUUAUUAAGUUGCAGAGAAAACAGUUUUUUUAGUAAAGGGGAUGAACAAAAGAAAAAGGACCUUUGUCCACCUGCUUCGCUUAGCUCUCUCAAGUAAAUUACCAUUGCUUGUGGGAGAGGCCAUUGCCUCAGGUUCCUCCACAAGAAGAGUUGAAGAUGGUGCAACAUCAGAUCCCGUUACCUUACUUCGAAUGGAAUUUUAGCCCAUGAAUUUUAAUUUUCUAGAGUUUAUGGCCUUUUUUCUUUACUAGAUUCCGCAUAUAUUUUCUUCUUUAUGCCCCCCUUUGAAGUUGAAUAUGUGUGUGAGUGGUGCAGGCAAUACUCUUCUGUCAAUUGUGGUCACUUCAUAUAGUUGAAUCAUUUAUUGUGAUAUCCUUUGGCCCAGUCUGGUUCCUUGGAUUCAUCUUGGCCCAGUCUGGUUUCUUGGAUUCAUCUUGGCUAUCUAACAUCCUGAAAUCAUUUUAUAAUAUCUUCCACGGUUUACCAAGGAUUUACCUGCAUCUUUUUCCAUGUACUUAUUUUAGCUGUGAAAGUAUUUGUUCAUUUAUUUAUUUUUCCGUCAGUUAAAAUAACUCUGACUUUGCAAGGGGCCAAAAAGGAGACAGUAAAGACAUUAUUGGAUGGGAGAAAAUUUGAAAAUCCUUUGAUUAGCCAAUUUGAUUUAUAAAAUGUAUUCCAUUUCACAAUUCUAGGUAAGAACUAAUUGUAAUGAAAUUUGACAAGAAAAUAUACAGGUAUAAGGCAAUUCAGGGAUGACGGAGAAUUAGUUUUUUCGUUUAAGGUUAUUAUUGAUUGUUAUAAAAUGCUCAAUAUUCAGUAGCACUUCAAAAUAGUCAUCCUGCUCUCCUUCCUUCCCUUUUUUUUUUUUUUUUUUCAAUUAGAAAGGAGUGCAUGAUGACUAUUUUGGAGUGCCAAUAACAGCUCCCAUAUUAAGUAUAAAUUUUCAUCUCAUGGAUAAAAAGACAUGAUGAUCAUUGAUCUGGUAGGUAGUGUGGGAUCACGAACAAUGAUUAUUUCAAUGAUACUAACUGAAAAAGUAAACUUAGCUACGAAUUCCACCCAACAGAUAAAGAUAUGGUGAUAAGUUAGGGAUCAUUGAACAGUCUGGCUAUAGAAUUAUAAACUUUUAUUACUGGAGUAUUUUCUGCUGGUUUGGUGCUUGAAGCUUCUUGUUCCUUUCAAUUAUUGAAGUAUGUAAUGAAAUAUCAUUUCCUUCCACAAUUCAUGCCAAUUUUCUGGUGGAAGUUUGAAUAUCAUUUGUCACUCCAGAAAAUUCAUAGGGUUGUACUGUACAUAUUCAUACCAUUUUAAGAGGGAGCCUGAGGUUGGUUUAGAAUGGACGUAAUGCCAUUAUGGCUAGGUGAAUAGAGAUCAAUUGACUAAUGACAAAGACAGUUCCAUUCUCAGUGCCCCAUUUGUGUAUUGAUGUUGUUUGUUGAAUAUCAUUUUGUCUUUCCAGAAAACAAGUUAACUAUUUUGAGAAAGAUUUUAUUUCUUAUAAUACCUGAUACUGAUGACACUCUCUUUGCGUAGAUUAUCUAAAUCUAGAUUGUUUAUGACACCUUAAAAUUGGAUCACAUAACUAAUAUAUGUGGCUUUUGCCUUCAUUAGGUGUUUGAUCAACAGGGAAAUUGAUUGAAUUGUCUGCAACAUAUGAUGAUAAGUAUUAAAAUCAUCAUCAUCAUAAUCACCAUGGUGAAUUAAGUGUGUAGGCAGUCUUGAUGACUUUAUAUUAUGACUAAUUAAGAUGUGAUUACUGAAAUGAUUUCCAUGAAUAUUGCUGACAUGGAAGUACCUUGUACAGCUAUACAAUUGAUAUGCGUUGUACCAAGUGAAAUGUUAAUGGGUUAUAUCCUUUUCUCAUUGGAUGAAAAUGAUGAUGGCAAUGAGAUGGUUCCCAUUGAAAAUGUUGGUGUGAAUGAACUGCUGUUGAUUCUACAGCAGCUAUAUUUACUGAUGAGGGUUCCAUCUUGUGAUAAUGCUAUCGACCUUAGUCAAGAAUGAUGUUGAUGUUGCCAUGUGAGCAUCUAGUACAAUUCUGGUGUUACUUGUGACAUUAUUUUUCAGUGGCAAUUAGACGAUUCCGUUGUCUAUGACAUGGGAACGUGAUGUGAUGAUCUUAUGUCCUUUUCCCCGUUGGUGGAUGGUAAAGUUUGGUGAUAGACAUCAGACCCAAAAAAAAAAAAAAAAAAGAGGCUUGGUGACAGACAAGAACAUCCCGAUAAAUCGUGUCAAACGUACAAAGAAUUACACAUUUCAAUUAUGAUGGGGUUGAUUUUCAUGAUUAUUACAUGGUUUUUUUUUUCUUUCUCUUUUUGAUAUACUUGCAUAAUGUGUUGUAUACAUAUUGCUUAAUGCUAGCUAGUACGACAAUAAUAACACAAACAUAACCUAGUUCCAGCUGCCCUACAUUACAUGAGUAACAAUCCUUUUAGCUUUGUCACUGCAACAGAAAAUGACUGAUGCUAUAGUUGGAAUUUUCAUCGAACAUACUGCAUUUUUAAUGGAACUCAAGGAAGCCUUGCGUGCUUGGGUUGGUCUGAAUGAAUCUAUUAUAGUUUCUUAUCAAUCAAGCAUCUUAUUUACACAGCCACCACACAGUUCUUUUAGAACUUCCAUAUUGAAUAAGAUCAACAAUUUGUACCAGUCCAUUUGAUAGUCUUUGUUGAAUGUACUCUGUCAUAAAACUUAAGCUCCAUUUGGUGCUAUUUGAGUGCUUACAAAUUUCCUUUAUGCUGCAAUGAACAGCUAGAUGAUAUUUCUGGGGAAAUUGGAAGCAUGCAGAAAUUGUGUCCCUGAAGGUGAAGGACAUACUGGUCGGAAUCUUUUAGACUCGUGUAAUUUUGGGUCAUUCCUACUGGGUGGUGCCCUAUUGGAGGACAGUUUUGUUUGUCCUUAAUGAAAUGUCAAAUUUGGGGCCAUUGGCCCACCGACAAAACCAAAUUGGCUUUACAAUUUGCAAGCAAUCGAGGGAAGUAGGCUGUACCUUGCUAGGCCUUCCCAAGCUCCCAAAACCACAACCAGUCACUCAAGCCUUCUGCCCUUUGAUUUGCUUUGCUGCCUGCCUUCUAAUGCCCUCCAAUCAAUGGCGCCUUCUAAUGCCCUCCAAUCAAUGGCGCCUUUGAUUUAACUCAGCCAACCAGAUUUAUGACACGUGGCUCUUUUGUGGCCACUGCUAGUGACCUCCCAUGUGAUGAUGUGAAGCAAUAUGCAGGCCCAAUCAUCAGAGGAACAAAGCCAGGUCGCAUCAGAUGGAUUGAACAAAUUUCCUUAUCAACGGUGUUUGACAGAGAAAUUUGAUGUGUAGAAAGUCAUUGGUUUAAUACGUUUUGUGUUAAUUCAAAUUUUCCUCUUUCAUGACAAAAAUACAAAAAUCCUAAUUGAAAAUUGGAC
This 4822-nucleotide long non-coding RNA is filed under the name Prunus dulcis (almond). RNAcentral describes it as "sRNA ncRNA". The record is from RNAcentral. Lineage: Eukaryota; Viridiplantae; Streptophyta; Magnoliopsida; Rosales; Rosaceae.